Long non-coding RNA from Crotalus tigris (Tiger rattlesnake), 1125 nucleotides. RefSeq lists it as uncharacterized. The record is from RefSeq and is a predicted model, not a curated record. The transcript is spliced from 3 exons. Lineage: Eukaryota; Metazoa; Chordata; Lepidosauria; Squamata; Viperidae.
CGGAUAUUGCCAUAUCCUAAAAGUGGUACAAUGGGUGAAAAGGUUGAAAAGCCCUGGCCUAUAGUACUGCAUUCUAACCACUGUGCCACCACGGCUCAUAAAGUAUAUGUUCCCCCAUUUUAUUCUUUUCCCCUAACGUCUUAAUGGGAUCUCCCAUUUUCCAGUAAUGGAAUUGCUUUUACAAUUGCAUCUGAGUUAUUGCCCCUCAAUUUUCAGCUUCCUGCUUCUGUCUUGAGAUGUUGGCAGAUCAUCCAAAGAAGACUUACAAAGAUUUUGUAUGCCUGUUCAAUAUAUGGUAUUCUACAUUUUUACCAUGGGCAAUUUCAUUCAUGCAUAAUCCAACGUGACAGAAGACUAUCACUUUGCCUACCUAAAUCGUGCAACUAGUAAUGGUGUCACAAGAGUGUUUAAGAAUCAUCCAAUCUUCAUUCAUCCAGUAUAAUCUGAAGUAAGAAACAGCAGAAGAGAAAAUAUUUCAAAGGCUGGAAGAAGCUAUUCCAUCCUUCGGAAGCAAGUCUGAAAACAGAGCUGCUACAAAGAAUCUCCAAACAUCAAUAAGUAGACUGUAACUUUAUUCUGUGUGAUUUUAUAUACUGUUUAUUUCAGCAGCUUCCUCUAAAUAUCUACCAAGUUUCUAUAUUAUAUAAUUCUCAGGGUAUCUUUUUACAAAUAUACAUAGCAUCUAUUCUGUUAUUUUUGUACAACACGUGCAUGAUACAACAUUCUUGUAUCACCCAUUGUUAUGCAAGAAUGUUGCUUAACAACAUAAUGCACUUAUUGUCAUUUUGAUGUCGCUCUGACUUGUUAUUGAUACCACCAUCAUAAAGCAUGUUUUGGUUGGACAUAUAGAUUCAGCAAUGAUGAAGAGAAGCACAUGCACACACAUUUGCAUGAACACGCAUACACACAUACCUUUCACUGUGCCAUUACUAGGUGUGUCAUGCCCCAUUUCUUCUUGCUUCAAUUAUAUGGUAGGAAAAAUAUGAUAUGAUCACACAAAACCAGUACAGUACAUAUAGUCCUCAACCUACGACCACAAGUGAGCCCAAAAUUUAUGUUGUUAAAUGAGGCAUUUGUUAAGUCAGUUUUGCCUCAUUUUACAACCUUUCCUAUCAUAGUUUUUAA